ACCUCGCGGUAGACUGCCGUGGCGGGCGUCACGAGCCCGUAGUUGUCAUCACAGCCAGCGGCGCCCGCUGAGCCACCCAGGGCUCCCGGGAGAGAGGCGCUGCAAGAGCCGCCGGAGGUGCCCGAGCCCCCAUCGCCAGAGCGGCCUUCGCUGACCAAGUCGAGGACGAGGAACUUCUGGAGUGCCAUGGUGACCUUGAAGGUGACAAUGACAUCAUCCAUUCCUGGAAUAUUGUGACAGCUCCCACGUGACAGAGUGAAAGCGGUCCACCAGAUCCACCCCCCUCCCCCCCAGAGGGCAGGAUGCUUACAGAAGGAUCAGACAAUACAGUGCAGACAAUUCCAGUGGGUAGCAAGUGUGGAGAGGCACCAAACUGGGCCACAGACUUACAAGGUGACCCUAAGUAAAUGGACAGGUGUGGAACGAACUGUGAGAAGUUGGGCCUGGAGAGAUGGCUCAGCAGUUAAGAGCACUGACUGCUCUUCCAGAAGACCUGAGUUCAAUUCCCAGCAACGUGACUCACAACUAUCUGAAAUGGAAUCAGACACCUUCUAAUGGUCACCUGAACUGCAGGUGGAUGUGUGCCAAAGACAGAAGACAAACCUCUUCAGUGUCACUGUCUAUGACAGCCCUACAUCCUUUAGUGGUGAGUUAAGGGGACAUGGUAUAAUGCAUUCCUGCAACAGAGUUCCACCUGUGUGUGAACACUCAAUACCAUGGACCAGUGGUGACACAUGGAUAGCGGAUGACCACGUAGUGGCUGUCAUUUGUCUUUAUAAAGCAGUCUAUGUGACUCGGACUCGUGGAGUGGUGGCAUAUGCAGUGUCGGGGACACAGGAGGAACGCUUUCCUCAGAACGCCAGUUACACAUGUUUUCUUAACUUGAGUGGAGGUGGGAGGCAGGUGUGUUCUCUUGGGAACUCUUCCAACUGUGCACUUCAGUGCACUUCUUGAGUGUUGAUUUUACAUAUUUUUAAUAAAAAAAAGUUUGAAAGUA
RNAcentral lists this long non-coding RNA (997 nucleotides) under Mus pahari (shrew mouse). RNAcentral describes it as "lncRNA (MGP_PahariEiJ_G0004897.1)". The record is from RNAcentral. Lineage: Eukaryota; Metazoa; Chordata; Mammalia; Rodentia; Muridae.